This 162-nucleotide ribosomal RNA is filed under the name Peperomia glabella. RNAcentral's name for it is "5.8S ribosomal RNA". It matches the Rfam family "5.8S ribosomal RNA". Rfam says of the family: 5.8S ribosomal RNA (5.8S rRNA) is a component of the large subunit of the eukaryotic ribosome. The record is from RNAcentral. Lineage: Eukaryota; Viridiplantae; Streptophyta; Magnoliopsida; Piperales; Piperaceae.
AUACGACUCUCGGCAACGGAUAUCUCGGCUCUCGCAUCGANNNNNAACGCAGCGAAAUGCGAUACUUGGUGUGAAUUGCAGAAUCCCGUGAAUCAUCGAGUCUUUGAACGCAAGUUGCGCCCGAGGCCCUUCGGCCGAGGGCACAUCUGCUUGGGCGUCGAC